Molecule: long non-coding RNA, 818 nt
Organism: Oncorhynchus gorbuscha (pink salmon)
Lineage: Eukaryota; Metazoa; Chordata; Actinopteri; Salmoniformes; Salmonidae
Exons: 3
Source: RefSeq, a predicted model, not a curated record
AACUCUGUUGGAGUUUGUUGUGUUGGCAGCUUGCAACACCCCUCAUUAUCACAUCGAUGCAUGCAACCACUCACUUACACACCAUUGUUACUUGUUUGUAGUGUACUUAAGUAUAAUAAAUAUUUUUGUUACUCCUCGAUCUCCACGUUGUCUACAUUUUUUUGUUAGGAGACGGUUUGUGAUGUGGGGGCUCAUCCGGGAUCUUAAGGUGGUGGUCUGCGUUGGAGAGUAACGUCGGUUAGUUUCCAGGCCCCUGCCUACGCUGGAAACUCCUGUACCAACAGCAAGUAGAGCAUCGGUCUGAGUAGGGCUAUGAGCCGGAAUCGUGACAGACAUCCCGCAGGUGAAGAAGCCGGAUGGAGUUCCUGGGCUGGCGAGGUUACACAUGGUCUGUGGUUGAGGAUGGUUGGAUAUACUGAGAAAUUCUCUAAAAUGGAGGCAGCUUAUGGUAGAGAAAAGAAAAUUGCAUUCUCUGGCAACAGCUCUGGUGGACAUUUCUAGAGUCAGCAUGACAAUUGCAUCCUCCCUCAACUUGAGGCAUCUGUGGCAACUGCACAUUUUAGUGGCCUUUUAUUGUCCCCAGUACAAGGUGCCCCUGUGUAAUGAUCAUGCUGUUUAUUAAACAGCUUCUUGUAAGCCACACCUGUCAGCUGGAUGGGUUCUCUUGGCAAAAGAGAAAUGCUCACUAAGUUAUGUAAACAAAUUGAGAGAAAUAUUUUUAUUAACUGUUCAGCAGGCUUAUGGCUUGGGGGUAGAAGCUGUUAAGGUGCCUUUUGGUCCCAGACUUGGCACUCCGGUACUGCUUGUCGUGCAGUAGC